AGAGUUAAAAAGUACGUGAAAUUGUUGAAAGGGAAACGAUUGAAGUCAGUCAUGCCCGUGAAAAUUCAGUUUGGCGGGUUUUUGGUUCAGGAGUAGAGGCAGGGUCAAACCGUUUCUCUUUUGGACUUGAGAUUUGUCAGAUGCACUUUUUCUUUGGCAGGUCAGCGUCGAUUUCGGAGGCUGUAAAAUACUUGGGGUAAAGUAGCUCUGCUUCGGGAGAGUGUUAUAGACCUUGGGGGAUGCAGCCUGUGAGAUCGAGGAUUGCAGCAAAUGCUUUUGGCUUGUCGCCUGAUCUUUGGAUGUUACCUCGCUUGUGACAAUAUUCUUGCCGCCGGUGAGUACUAAUGCCUAUUAGGUUAGAGCGAUCAAAAAUUUUGCUAAGGAUGCUGACGUAAUGGCUUUAAACGACC
RNAcentral lists this ribosomal RNA (410 nucleotides) under Diversispora eburnea. Its description in RNAcentral is "partial large subunit ribosomal RNA". Lineage: Eukaryota; Fungi; Glomeromycota; Glomeromycetes; Diversisporales; Diversisporaceae. The record is from RNAcentral.